CAGUCGCCGCGGGAAUACGUAGGCCCCGAGCGUUGUCCGGAUUUAUUGGGCGUAAAGCGAGCGCAGGCGGUUAGAUAAGUCUGAAGUUAAAGGCUGUGGCUUAACCAUAGUACGCUUUGGAAACUGUUUAACUUGAGUGCAAGAGGGGAGAGUGGAAUUCCAUGUGUAGCGGUGAAAUGCGUAGAUAUAUGGAGGAACACCGGUGGCGAAAGCGGCUCUCUGGCUUGUAACUGACGCUGAGGCUCGAAAGCGUGGGGCGCAAACAGGAUUAGAUACCCGCGUAGUCCCUGUCUCUUAUACA
Molecule: ribosomal RNA, 301 nt
Filed under: uncultured bacterium
Lineage: Bacteria
Description: partial 16S ribosomal RNA
Rfam family: Bacterial small subunit ribosomal RNA
Source: RNAcentral